Unclassified non-coding RNA from Erinaceus europaeus (western European hedgehog), 311 nucleotides. Its record names the gene 7SK. It matches the Rfam family "7SK RNA". From Rfam's summary of the family: 7SK was discovered as an abundant small nuclear RNA in the mid-70s but a possible function has only recently been suggested. Two independent studies have found that 7SK RNA binds the CDK9/cyclin T complex (known as elongation factor P-TEFb). The record is from Ensembl. NCBI's taxonomy places the organism in Eukaryota, Metazoa, Chordata, Mammalia, Eulipotyphla, Erinaceidae.
GGAUGUGAGGGCGAUCUGGCUGCGACAUCUGUCACCCCAUUGAUCGUCAGGGUUGAUUCGGCUGAUCUGGCUGGCUAGGCGGGUGUCCCCUUCCUCCCUCACCGCUCCAUGUGUGUCCUUCCCGAAGCUGUGCGCUCGGUCGAAGAGGACAGCCUUCCCCGAAUAGAGACAGACCGGUCUUGGGUCGAGGGUAUGAGUAACUGCGCUCCCCUGCUAGAACCUCCAAACAAGCUCUCAAGAAGUUAUGGUACCUCUGUCUUUCCCAAGUUUUUUUUUUUUUUUUGGUAGCAAUUUGCUGUUAUGACUGAAUA